CCUACGGGAGGCAGCAGUGGGGAAUAUUGCACAAUGGGGGAAACCCUGAUGCAGCGACGCCGCGUGAGUGAGGAAGUAUUUCGGUAUGUAAAGCUCUAUCAGCAGGGAAGAAAACGACGGUACCUGACUAAGAAGCCCCGGCUAACUACGUGCCAGCAGCCGCGGUAAUACGUAGGGGGCAAGCGUUAUCCGGAUUUACUGGGUGUAAAGGGAGCGUAGUCGGCUAUGUAAGUCAGAAGUGAAAACCUUAGGCUCAACCUGGGGACUGCAUUUGAAACUAAGUAGCUAGAGUGCAGGAGAGGUAAGCGGAAUUCCUAGUGUAGCGGUGAAAUGCGUAGAUAUUAGGAAGAACACCAGUGGCGAAGGCGGCUUACUGGACUGAAACUGACGUUGAGGCUCGAAAGCGUGGGGAGCGAACAGGAUUAGAUACCCCUGUAGUC
This 440-nucleotide ribosomal RNA is filed under the name uncultured bacterium. RNAcentral describes it as "partial 16S ribosomal RNA". It matches the Rfam family "Bacterial small subunit ribosomal RNA", at positions 338 to 795 of the family's 1533-position model. The record is from RNAcentral.